This 254-nucleotide ribosomal RNA is filed under the name uncultured bacterium. RNAcentral's name for it is "partial 16S ribosomal RNA". It matches the Rfam family "Bacterial small subunit ribosomal RNA", at positions 524 to 776 of the family's 1533-position model. The record is from RNAcentral.
UACGUAGGGACCAAGCGUUGUUCGGAUUUACUGGGCGUAAAGGGCGCGUAGGCGGCAUGACAAGUCACUUGUGAAAUCUCUGGGCUUAACCCAGAACGGCCAAGUGAUACUGUCACGCUAGAGUGCGGAAGGGGCAAUCGGAAUUCUUGGUGUAGCGGUGAAAUGCGUAGAUAUCAAGAGGAACACCUGAGGUGAAGACGGGUUGCUGGGCCGACACUGACGCUGACAGCGCGAAAGCCAGGGGGGCAAACGGG